AGUGAACGCUGGCGGUAGGCCUAACACAUGCAAGUCGAACGGCAGCACAGUAAGAGCUUGCUCUUACGGGUGGCGAGUGGCGGACGGGUGAGGAAUACAUCGGAAUCUACUUUUUCGUGGGGGAUAACGUAGGGAAGCUUACGCUAAUACCGCAUACGACCUACGGGUGAAAGCAGGGGAUCUUCGGACCUUGCGCGAUUGAAUGAGCCGAUGUCGGAUUAGCUAGUUGGCGGGGUAAAGGCCCACCAAGGCGACGAUCCGUAGCUGGUCUGAGAGGAUGAUCAGCCACACUGGAACUGAGACACGGUCCAGACUCCUACGGGAGGCAGCAGUGGGGAAUAUUGGACAAUGGGCGCAAGCCUGAUCCAGCCAUACCGCGUGGGUGAAGAAGGCCUUCGGGUUGUAAAGCCCUUUUGUUGGGAAAGAAAAGCAGCAGGUUAAUACCCCGCUGUUCUGACGGUACCCAAAGAAUAAGCACCGGCAAACUUCGUG
RNAcentral lists this ribosomal RNA (492 nucleotides) under uncultured bacterium. Its description in RNAcentral is "partial 16S ribosomal RNA". It matches the Rfam family "Bacterial small subunit ribosomal RNA", at positions 29 to 507 of the family's 1533-position model. The record is from RNAcentral.